Molecule: RNA transcript, 899 nt
Organism: Monodelphis domestica (gray short-tailed opossum)
Lineage: Eukaryota; Metazoa; Chordata; Mammalia; Didelphimorphia; Didelphidae
Gene: UBE2C
Gene name: ubiquitin conjugating enzyme E2 C
Source: RefSeq, a predicted model, not a curated record
GUUACAAUUCAAACGCAGGCGGGCGGGCCUGGAGCCCCGCAGUUACCGCCUGAGAGUUUUCUCUUCCUUUAUCUCCAGUCCCUGAUGGCCUCGCAGAACCGCGACCCGGCUGCUGCCAGCGCCGCCGCCGCCUCCCGUAAGGGAGCCGAGCCUGGGGCGGGCGCGGCCCGAGGGUCCGUGGGCAAGAGAUUACAACAAGAAUUGAUGACCCUAAUGAUGUCUGGAGAUAAAGGAAUUUCUGCCUUCCCAGAGUCAGACAAUCUCUUCAAAUGGGUUGGGACCAUCCAUGGUGCAGCUGGGACAGUAUAUGAAGAUCUGAGGUACAAGCUUUCUCUGGAGUUCCCCAGUGGCUAUCCAUAUAAUGCUCCCACAGUGAAAUUUGUCACACCCUGCUACCAUCCAAAUGUGGACACCCAAGGCAAUAUCUGUUUGGACAUCCUCAAAGACAAGUGGUCAGCUCUGUAUGAUGUCAGGACCAUCCUACUCUCUAUCCAGAGCCUGCUGGGAGGUGAUGCCUGCUAGCUUAACCCAAUAUUGAUAGCCCAUUGAACACACAUGCUGCUGAGCUUUGGACAAACCCUACAGCCUUUAAAAAGUACCUGCUGGAAACCUACAUGAAGCAGGUGACCAGCCAAGAGCCCUGACCCUGACUGCCCAGCUUCCCUCGCCUUCAUCUUGUGUGUGUGUGUGUGUGUGUGUGCGCGCGUGUGCGUGUGUGUGCGCGUGCGUGUGUGCAUGUAGCCUUUUCCUUCCUCAAGGCCUGUCUUCUCUCUUCUGUCUAAUUCUUUAUCACAGACUGUUUUCCUUUUCUUCUGAUGUUUUUCUUUUCUUUCUUUGUUCAACUCUAGACCAGCCCUCAACAUUAAUGUAUAAAUAAAUUUUGUUUUUGUUUUUUAAAA